This 105-nucleotide ribosomal RNA is filed under the name Caerostris darwini. The record is from RNAcentral. Lineage: Eukaryota; Metazoa; Arthropoda; Arachnida; Araneae; Araneidae.
CAUACCAUGCUGAAUAUACCGAUUCUCGUCGAUCACCGAAGUCAAGCAUCAACGGGCGCGGUCAGUACUUGGGUGGGUGACCACCUGGGAACACCGCGUGCCGUU